This 1346-nucleotide ribosomal RNA is filed under the name uncultured bacterium. RNAcentral's name for it is "partial 16S ribosomal RNA". It matches the Rfam family "Bacterial small subunit ribosomal RNA", at positions 28 to 1381 of the family's 1533-position model. The record is from RNAcentral.
GACGAACGCUGGCGGCGUGCUUAACACAUGCAAGUCGAACGGAAAGGCCCUGCUUUUGUGGGGUGCUCGAGUGGCGAACGGGUGAGUAACACGUGAGUAACCUGCCCUUGACUUUGGGAUAACUUCAGGAAACUGGGGCUAAUACCGGAUAGGAGCUCCUGCUGCAUGGUGGGGGUUGGAAAGUUUCGGCGGUUGGGGAUGGACUCGCGGCUUAUCAGCUUGUUGGUGGGGUAGUGGCUUACCAAGGCUUUGACGGGUAGCCGGCCUGAGAGGGUGACCGGCCACAUUGGGACUGAGAUACGGCCCAGACUCCUACGGGAGGCAGCAGUGGGGAAUAUUGCACAAUGGGCGGAAGCCUGAUGCAGCAACGCCGCGUGCGGGAUGACGGCCUUCGGGUUGUAAACCGCUUUCGCCCGUGACGAAGCGUGAGUGACGGUAAUGGGUAAAGAAGCACCGGCUAACUACGUGCCAGCAGCCGCGGUGAUACGUAGGGUGCGAGCGUUGUCCGGAUUUAUUGGGCGUAAAGGGCUCGUAGGUGGUUGAUCGCGUCGGAAGUGUAAUCUUGGGGCUUAACCCUGAGCGUGCUUUCGAUACGGGUUGACUUGAGGAAGGUAGGGGAGAAUGGAAUUCCUGGUGGAGCGGUGGAAUGCGCAGAUAUCAGGAGGAACACCAGUGGCGAAGGCGGUUCUCUGGGCCUUUCCUGACGCUGAGGAGCGAAAGCGUGGGGAGCGAACAGGCUUAGAUACCCUGGUAGUCCACGCUGUAAACGGUGGGUACUAAGUGUGGGGUCCAUUCCACGGGUUCCGUGCCGUAGCUAACGCUUUAAGUACCCCGCCUGGGGAGUACGGCCGCAAGGCUAAAACUCAAAGGAAUUGACGGGGCCCCGCACAAGCGGCGGAGCAUGCGGAUUAAUUCGAUGCAACGCGUAGAACCUUACCUGGGUUUGACAUGGAUCGGGAGUGCUCAGAGAUGGGUGUGCCUCUUUUGGGGUCGGUUCACAGGUGGUGCAUGCCUGUCGUCAGCUCGUGUCGUGAGAUGUUGGGUUAAGUCCCGCAACGAGCGCAACCCUUGUUCACUGUUGCCAGCACGUUAUGGUGGGGACUCAGUGGAGACCGCCGGGGUCAACUCGGAGGAAGGUGGGGAUGACGUCAAGUCAUCAUGCCCCUUAUGUCCAGGGCUUCACGCAUGCUACAAUGGCUGGUACAGAGAGUGGCGAGCCUGUGAGGGUGAGCGAAUCUCGGAAAGCCGGUCUCAGUUCGGAUUGGGGUCUGCAACUCGACCUCAUGAAGUCGGAGUCGCUAGUAAUCGCAGAUCAGCAACGCUGCGGUGAAUACGUUCCCGGGGCU